UGCUUGAUAACUUUUCUUCUUCUUGGAUGCAUAUUUUUCAGAUUUUUUUGUUGUGGCCUUUUGGGAUUUGUCCUUUGAGCUAGUGGCCACUGUCCUCUUCUUCUUUUUGACCAUGGCUUUCCUUUUCUCUGUUUGUGCUAUUGUCUCUUCAAACAGUGGGGGUCCCUCUGUUACAGACUCAGUUUCUUUAUAAUCUGCAUC
RNAcentral lists this long non-coding RNA (201 nucleotides) under Gallus gallus (chicken). Lineage: Eukaryota; Metazoa; Chordata; Aves; Galliformes; Phasianidae. The record is from RNAcentral.